GCUGGGUGCAGUGGUGUGUGCCUGUAGUCCCCAGCCACCUGGGAGGCUGAGGCUAGAGGAUCGCUUGAGUCCAGGAGUUCUGGGCUGUAGUGCGCUAUGCCGAUUGGUUGUCCGCACUAAGUUCGAUGUGAAUAUGGUGACCUCCCGGGAGUGGGGGACCACCAGGUUGCCUAAGAAGGGGUGAACCAGCCCAGGUCGGAAACAGAGCAGGUCAAAACUCCCGGGCUGAUCAGUAGUGGGACUGCACCUGUGAAUAGCCACUGCACUCCAGCCUGGGCAACAUAGCAAGACCCUGUCUCU
This 300-nucleotide signal recognition particle RNA is filed under the name Saimiri boliviensis boliviensis (Bolivian squirrel monkey). Its description in RNAcentral is "Metazoan signal recognition particle RNA (ENSSBOG00000015750.1)". It matches the Rfam family "Metazoan signal recognition particle RNA". From Rfam's summary of the family: The signal recognition particle (SRP) is a universally conserved ribonucleoprotein. It is involved in the co-translational targeting of proteins to membranes. Lineage: Eukaryota; Metazoa; Chordata; Mammalia; Primates; Cebidae. The record is from RNAcentral.